Molecule: long non-coding RNA, 1380 nt
Organism: Salvelinus namaycush (lake trout)
Lineage: Eukaryota; Metazoa; Chordata; Actinopteri; Salmoniformes; Salmonidae
Exons: 3
Source: RefSeq, a predicted model, not a curated record
CCUUGUCAGCUCGGUGAUUCAAUCCAGCAACCUUUCGGUUACUGGCCCGACGCUCUAACCACCAGGCUACCUGCUUCCCCAAAGGUAGACUCAGUGAGGUGAUAAAAUGUACGAAUGUAAACCGUGGUAGUGGUUCAAUUUCCGCAACAACCAGGAGCGUUGAAGCACGACUCUAAACUUCUCAGCUGUUUUGGUCCCGUAGCUACCACGCAGACUGCAAAAAGAAGCCUCAAACGCACAGCGAAGUUGAUACUGUCUGUGUUAUUGAAGAAUAACAUCAACUGCUAACACUUGGUGCCAUGACCCGGGUGAAUUUGUCGUGACCAACAACAAGGAACAACUCAUCAACUGUGUGUUGAUCCAGGGGAAAGAGAGAGGGCUGAGCGCAACCCACCACAGUUAACUCUUAAUCUCCCGAUUGAUGACAUAUCAUAUUCCUGGAUUAUGAGAAUCUACUGUCUGAAGCUGAAGCAAUAUCCCUUAACCCAAGGACUGUACUUGAAACGAUACAAGAUCACUGGUGAAGUGUUCAUUGGAGACGUCCUCAUCAACCAGUGGAACGGAAGAACAAUUCCUCACUACCGGCACACUGUCAGAACAUAAUUUCUAAUAGUUAUCUAUGUGGGACUGAUACCAGUGUGGAAGAGCAGGUCACUUUUAAAGGACUAUGUGAAUGAUUACCUUGACAAUAGGACGACUGAAUAUUAUUGUCUCGAGGACAAGUGAAAGAUGUUUGAAAUUAUUUCCUCUUUAUACAGGAUGUGGGUGGUGUUUCCAUUUCGAACACAGAGAUGCAUCAGCAGGAUGAGGGACACUCGGGCGUCAGUACGUUUCUAGCCCGUUCUCUACACUAUGCCGCAGACAAACAUGGGGUACAUGUGCUGUUAUUGGUGCCGAAUGCUGUACUUACAUUCCUGAUAAUUCUGAGGAAAUAACUGACCUAAUCCAAAAGAUCAGGACCGAGGUCGCUAAAUAUCAUGAUUACAAUCCAGAUGAUUUAGGUUUAGUCAUGUGGUUGUCUUCCACAUUUGGCACACGGGGAAGUUUUUGGGUGAGCAUGAUACUCCCAAUAGUGGGAGUUGUGUUUAUUUUACUUAUCCUCAUCCAGGCUAUCAAGUGUGCUAUUGCCCGAUGUUUGUCUGCUAAAAUCCCACGGUUACGUGAUAGGGGAUAUCAUAAGAUUCAUCAACCGUCUGGGUUAUCGAAGAAUAACAUCAACUGCUACCACUAUAUUAACCUUGGUUACAGCAAAGAUUUUUGUCCUUUUGAUGUUGAAAGUGUAACAGGGUUAUAUUGGUGAUUCCCCUUGCCACUUUAUUGUUAAGCCAAUGGGUUUUUGGUUUUAGUUUUGUCUUGCCUUCACCUACUCAACAUGGCAUC